Brassica napus (rape) is the source of this 127-nucleotide non-coding RNA. The record is from Rfam. Lineage: Eukaryota; Viridiplantae; Streptophyta; Magnoliopsida; Brassicales; Brassicaceae.
GGAAUAUAAGAACCCGUCUCUUAACUUUUAACUAAAAAAGUUAAGAACCGGCUCUUAAAACUCUUAUUUAAGAACCGGUUCUUAGCUUUUUUUUAGUUAAAAAUUAAGAGACGGAUUUUUAUAUUCC